RNAcentral lists this unclassified non-coding RNA (231 nucleotides) under plant metagenome. RNAcentral's name for it is "partial contains small subunit ribosomal RNA and internal transcribed spacer 1". The stretch from base 1 to 54 matches the Rfam family "Eukaryotic small subunit ribosomal RNA", at positions 1778 to 1831 of the family's 1831-position model. The record is from RNAcentral.
GGAAGUAAAAGUCGCAACAAGGUUUCCGUAGGUGAACCUGCGGAAGGAUCAUUAGUGAAUAUUAGCGCAUCUACUUGUAGGGCGUGACCUCCACUUUCUAACUCUGUGCAUUUAUUGGCGGAAGAACUAGAGUAAUCGAAUUCUUCUGCGGCUCAUUUUAUAACACUAGUUAAAGUAUGUAACGAAAUAUCGAAACAAAAAAAACUUUCAACAACGGAUCUCUUGGCUUGC